GCAGGAGGCGGAGGAAGAAAAUCAAAAGGGUUUGUUAAGGGAUAUCUUGGGGGUAGGAUAUUCGAGGAGUGAUGGUGGUUGGUCAAAGCAGGGAACAUGUAGGAAACGGGAGGUCAAGUAGGUGAUAGAGCUUGGCGGGAUGACCGGAACGGACGGCGAGGCAGGUGACAGAGAAGGAGAACUGGAGACGGAGAAGAACACAAUGGGCCAGAUUUGGACCCACCUACAUUUCGGUCUAAAUCUGCUUAAGCCUGCUGACGUCAGUGACAGAAAAAGGCCACCCGCAUGAAUCACUGUACCUGGAGUCACUUUCUUUAAAAACCAAUGACCAAGUCCUUAACCUUGGUGUACUGAUAGAUUCCGACCUGACUUAUAACAGACAUAUCGAAUCAAUUACUAAAACUGCCUUCUACCAUCUCAAGAACAUAUCCAGAGUGAAGGCUUGCAUGUGUCAAGCAGACCAGGAGAAGCUCAUCCAUGCUUUUAUCUAAAGUAGACUUGACUAUUGUAAUGGUCUUCUGACUUGACUCCCCAAAAAGAGCAUUAAACAGCUGCAGCUCAUUCAGAAUGUUGCAGCUCGGGCUGUGACCAGAACAAAGAGGUCAGAGCAUAUUACUCCAAUUCUAAAGUCUUUACACUGGCUUCCAGUCGGCUUCAGAAUAGGUUUUAUAGUUCUGCUACUGGUCUAUAAAUCACUAAAUGGUUUAGAUCCUGAAUACAUGAAAGAAAUGCUAAUGAAUAUAAACCCAGUGGUGCUCUGAGAUUGACAGACUCGGUUCAAAUAGCGGAGCACAGAGUUCAAAGCAAACAUUGUGAACCAGCAUUUAGCUAUUAUGCUGCACACAAAUUGUUGCCAAUAGAAGUGACGUCAGCCCCAAGUGUGAAUGUGUUAAAGUCCAGGUUAAAAACUCUUCUUUUUUCUCAUGCUUUUUAGAGCAUUUUCACUUUUAAAUAAUAUUUCUUGCACUCUAUGCUGUUUUAAUUGUACUUUUAUUUUAUUUCCUCUUUGUUUUAAAUGAUGAU
Molecule: long non-coding RNA, 1023 nt
Organism: Phycodurus eques (leafy seadragon)
Lineage: Eukaryota; Metazoa; Chordata; Actinopteri; Syngnathiformes; Syngnathidae
Exons: 4
Source: RefSeq, a predicted model, not a curated record